RNAcentral lists this ribosomal RNA (305 nucleotides) under uncultured bacterium. Its description in RNAcentral is "bacterial SSU rRNA". It matches the Rfam family "Bacterial small subunit ribosomal RNA", at positions 334 to 636 of the family's 1533-position model. The record is from RNAcentral.
UGAUCCUACGGGACGCAGCAGUGAGGAAUAUUGGUCAAUGGGCGGGAGCCUGAACCAGCCAAGUCGCGUAAGGGAAGACGGUCCUAUGGAUUGUAAACCUCUUUAGGCGGGGAGCAAGGCCGCCGACGUGUCGGCGGAAGGAGAGUACCCGUAGAACAAGCAUCGGCUAACUCCGUGCCAGCAGCCGCGGUAAUACGGAGGAUGCGAGCGUUAUCCGGAUUUAUUGGGUUUAAAGGGUGCGCAGGCGGCACGGCACGCCGGCGGUCAAAUCGCGGGGCUCAACCCCGCCCAGCCGUCGGAACUGC